Molecule: ribosomal RNA, 596 nt
Filed under: Streptomyces sp. TBJ04
Lineage: Bacteria; Bacillati; Actinomycetota; Actinomycetes; Kitasatosporales; Streptomycetaceae
Description: bacterial SSU rRNA
Rfam family: Bacterial small subunit ribosomal RNA
Source: RNAcentral
GGGUAGCCGGCCUGAGAGGGCGACCGGCCACACUGGGACUGAGACACGGCCCAGACUCCUACGGGAGGCAGCAGUGGGGAAUAUUGCACAAUGGGCGCAAGCCUGAUGCAGCGACGCCGCGUGAGGGAUGACGGCCUUCGGGUUGUAAACCUCUUUCAGCAGGGAAGAAGCGCAAGUGACGGUACCUGCAGAAGAAGCGCCGGCUAACUACGUGCCAGCAGCCGCGGUAAUACGUAGGGCGCGAGCGUUGUCCGGAAUUAUUGGGCGUAAAGAGCUCGUAGGCGGCUUGUCGCGUCGGUUGUGAAAGCCCGGGGCUUAACCCCGGGUCUGCAGUCGAUACGGGCAGGCUAGAGUUCGGUAGGGGAGAUCGGAAUUCCUGGUGUAGCGGUGAAAUGCGCAGAUAUCAGGAGGAACACCGGUGGCGAAGGCGGAUCUCUGGGCCGAUACUGACGCUGAGGAGCGAAAGCGUGGGGAGCGAACAGGAUUAGAUACCCUGGUAGUCCACGCCGUAAACGGUGGGCACUAGGUGUGGGCAACAUUCCACGUUGUCCGUGCCGCAGCUAACGCAUUAAGUGCCCCGCCUGGGGNNGUACGGA